RNAcentral lists this long non-coding RNA (472 nucleotides) under Mus musculus (house mouse). RNAcentral describes it as "long non-coding RNA chr6:80504873-80505345". Lineage: Eukaryota; Metazoa; Chordata; Mammalia; Rodentia; Muridae. The record is from RNAcentral.
GCUCUGGGAUCAUAAAAAAUUAUCUCUAAAUCUAAUGUUUAAGGUGGGUCCCCUGUAUGUGUGUUUGAUUCAGAGUCUCAUAAAAUUCAUGCCGGCUUCAAAAUCACUAUGUAGCCAAAUGUUGUCUUAAAUAUCUGAUCCUCCUUCGACAUGGACCACCAUGUCCAGUGUGUGCACUGCUGGGGAUGUAGCCCAAGGCUUCCUGCUCAUCAUGAAAGCACUCUGACAGCUGAGCUACAUGCUCCGUCCUUGCUUACUUCUAAUACUCAAUCCUUUGAGGCUGUGAGCACUUGUUAUUAUUUUACAGUUCUUUGUUUAGUUUUGCUUUGCUUUAAAUUAUUCACUAACUCCCUUUGUGGUCAAAGAUGAUUGACCAUAUCUCUAAAACAGAUAGCAUGAAAUACAUGUCUUAAAAGUUACACAUUGUUUUGGAAAUCUUCUGAGAAGAUAUGGAUAUGAAAAUACUUAAAAU